Molecule: long non-coding RNA, 3168 nt
Filed under: Podarcis lilfordi (Lilford's wall lizard)
Lineage: Eukaryota; Metazoa; Chordata; Lepidosauria; Squamata; Lacertidae
Source: RNAcentral
CCUGGGACAGGGGCAGGAAUAAAAAGACUGCUUUUUGCAGACAUCCGCUCUGAGAGAACGUCCCCUGUUUAUGGCAUUGCCCCUACAGCCCUGUAAAACAUGGCCAUUUUUGUUGAGGGUGGGGUUUUUAACUAUAGUGCAGAAAUAUAUCCCAUCAGACACAGGUGGCAUUGAAAUGAAAGUUUUCAAUUGAAAUGGAAGUCUCUUUCCAUAGUGUCUGUCCUUAACUAAUAUGGCCACUCUUAUUUAGCCACAUUAAUGAUACUCACCUUUCAUGCGAGUGCUUUAGCAGGCAACCACAGAGGAACAGAGAGCAAUGUUGUCUCUGCAGAACUGGCUGCUCUUGCCACCACACAAACUGAUCUGGCAAACCAAGCCUCGCCUCACAUGAACUUAAUGUAAAACUACACUUACGCAAGUAGAAUAGCACACCAAACUAUCAUAGAAUUGAUGAGCUGGAUUCCUGAGGUGGAAAGUGGGAGACUCCACACACCACUCAAACUUGACAUACGUUGCGGCUGCAUUACGUGAGAAUGGCAAACAACAUGAGGUAAGUGUAAUGUUUCAGCUCAGCAUAAUCUCCAAGUACUCGCAUUUUGAGAUCAUGGGUUGACUCACUGGACUUCACCUACAACUGGAGAUGUUAUAUCCCACACCUGGGAACCCUGGUUGUUAUACAAAGCUCAUUGCAUGGAACUACAGCUGGACUGGGGCCAUAUUUUAAAUGCAAAACAGAUUAAGUUGGCUGGUACAAGGCAUAGAUUCUGUAUGUUAAAACCUUAAUUUUAUUAAUGUUGAAGAUAUACUGCUCUCCGUGCUAUUAAAAUGUUUGCGGGUGUUGGGGAAGCAUUUUCAGUCUAAGCGCUGCAACUCUUUGGGGUCAACCUUCUGGACUGCAUGCCAGAGGCAAAAAUGAGCAGAACAACUGAUUCGACUUUUAUUUUGUACAGUAGGCUACAUUCCACCCAUGCAGAAGCCAGCAGUUUUUACACACAUACACACCUCCAUCCAGGCAAGAAAGAGGCAUUACUAUAAAUUAAUGCCAUGUUCUAUUCAGGCAAAAAAACCAGUUGAAUAGUGUGUGGAGCAGAACCAUGGUGUGUGUGUGUGUGUGUGUGUGUGUGUGUGUGUGUGUGUGGCCUGCGGGGGAGGGAGAGCUAGGAAGAUGACAUGGCUUGAGAAGAAGCUUGAGGGCUGGAUGCAGAGUCUGGGAGGGUUGCAUUCAGCUUGUGGACCAGAGGUUCAUCACCCUUGAACUAAACCUUGGAGAAUCAUAUGACAGCUUUGCUGACACUGGGCUGUAGACAUCAGCCAUCGUUAAUACUUAUAUAUAAUUUGUUAAUAGUUAUAUAUAAUUAUCUGUUUUUGUGUCUGUAACCUGAAACAAGAAAAGUGCACUCUCUCACUUGGACUGAUUAAAUGAUGGUUCAUGAUGACAACCAACAAGAGAGAGAAGGUGGGAUAUGCCAGCUCUCCCUCCCUAAUAUAUGUGGAGCCCUUGAAUUGUUUACCAACAUUCUUUUGUACUGUUGUAUAUCCUAUUUUGACAACUCUGUAAAAGAAAUUUUCUUCACAGUCUAUGUAACCCGUCAUAUAGUGACACUAGGCUUGUUAAGAACAUAAGAGAAGCCCUGCUGAACUGAAUCAAACACAUAUCUAGGUCAACAUUCUGUUUCCCCCAGUGGCCAACCAGAUGCCAAUGGGACGUUAACUCAGAAGGAAGUCUCACUAGUCCAAUGGGACUUGUUCUCAAGUUAGUAAACAUGCACAGGACUGGGAUGCAUGUAGUGAUGGGUGAAUCCCCGCCCCGCCCCCCAGUUCACUUCAGAAUUGGAUCAUCAGUUGUGUACAUCAUGCAAGAACCUACAAGAAAAGUUACCUCCCUCCCAAGAGUGCUGAACUGACACAUAGUAUUGGUUGUAACUUAUCAUUUCUGUAAAGUUAAUCUAUUUUUUGCCCAAGUCAUGGACACUAAUCACAGCUCAGAACAUAAGAAGAGCCUGCUAGAUCAGACCAACAGGUCUUCUGGUUCAGCAUCUUGCUCUCAUGGUGGGCCACCUGGGGGAAGUUUGCAAGGAGGACCUAACAGAGCUCAGGCAGAACCACAUGUGCAAAAUCUUGUUUUCCCAUUCCAAUAUACUGAAGUAUUGGGAAGGAAGAGGGGAGGACAUGGUGCUACAGGAGCAUUGCUAGCAGCUGAAUUUUGUACAGCAAACUUGAUGAUGAUUAACCUUGCUAGCAUCAGUUGCUCAACAUGUUUCCAUCCAGUUCCACUUUCUUGUGUUAGAGUUCAAGCUAUUCUUACUUCUUCAGAUAAAUCUCAGCAAGGUAUCUUUGGACAAAAGACAGUAUUCAAGGGCUUGCCCAAAUUAUCAUUUAAAUGUGUUGUAUAAAAUUGGGUUAGCUCUGAUGUGCACUUUUUUAAUUGGUUCAUUCCCACUACAUGGAAGGGUUUUGCCUAUUAAAUUGUCUAAUGCAUAAAUCACUUGUGGCAGGCGGAAACCCCCUGGCUGCCUUGUCAUGGCUUUGUUUUGUUUUGUUUUUUGGAUAAGGUUCAAAAAAAGAUAUCAACUUCAGAUUCCUGGAUGCUAACUGCAGAUGCAGACAAGCAACAAUGUCUUCACAAGAAAUUGUACCCCAGAAAAACCCUUUGUUUAAAAGAGCAGCUACAAUUCUACAGAUGUGUGUUCGGCCAACUAAAGAACAACAAAAAGGAGGAAAGUCUUCGUUCAAAGCCAACAGUGCUUUCGGUGGCCGUCAAUCUCUGCUCUCUUCCAGACGACCUGUGUUUUGAGCAUUCAGCCUGACUUGCUCGCACAAAGCUGGCACAAGGGUUAGACUGUGUGUGGUCUUUAGUGAACGUUCAUUUGCAUUUCCUUGCAGAAAAGUUGUACAACAAUGAGCAUUCAUCCUUAGCUCUUUGUGCAAUGUUUAUACAUCUUCCCACUAUUCAUUCAGCCCAAGAUUUCCAGUGCAUUUCCCCAUCACUUUCCUAACUGCAAAAAGUCCAUUUUUAAGAAGUGGAUUUGUGGAUUUGUUGCACUAGAGCAAAGGUAACAAACGUGAUGCCCUCCAGAUGCUGUUGGACUCCAAUGCCUACCAGCCCCAGCUAGCAUGGUCAGUGGUCAGAGAAGUAGUUGAACAAUACCUGGAGGGCACCCUGUUGCA